RNAcentral lists this ribosomal RNA (703 nucleotides) under Salmonella enterica subsp. enterica serovar Typhimurium. RNAcentral's name for it is "partial 23S ribosomal RNA". It matches the Rfam family "Bacterial large subunit ribosomal RNA", at positions 583 to 1233 of the family's 2925-position model. Lineage: Bacteria; Pseudomonadati; Pseudomonadota; Gammaproteobacteria; Enterobacterales; Enterobacteriaceae. The record is from RNAcentral.
CUUCGGGGUGUGACUGCGUACCUUUUGUAUAAUGGGUCAGCGACUUAUAUUCUGUAGCAAGGUUAACCGUAUAGGGGAGCCGGAGGGAAACCGAGUCUUAAUUGGGCGUUAAGUUGCAGGGUAUAGACCCGAAACCCGGUGAUCUAGCCAUGGGCAGGUUGAAGGUUGGGUAACACUAACUGGAGGACCGAACCGACUAAUGUUGAAAAAUUAGCGGAUGACCUGUGGCUGGGGGUGAAAGGCCAAUCAAACCGGGAGAUAGCUGGUUCUCCCCGAAAGCUAUUUAGGUAGCGCCUCGUGAAUUCAUCUCCGGGGGUAGAGCACUGUUUCGGCUAGGGGGCCAUCCCGGCUUACCAACCCGAUGCAAACUGCGAAUACCGGAGAAUGUUAUCACGGGAGACACACGGCGGGUGCUAACGUCCGUCGUGAAGAGGGAAACAACCCAGACCGCCAGCUAAGGUCCCAAAGUCAUGGUUAAGUGGGAAACGAUGUGGGAAGGCCCAGACAGCCAGGAUGUUGGCUUAGAAGCAGCCAUCAUUUAAAGAAAGCGUAAUAGCUCACUGGUCGAGUCGGCCUGCGCGGAAGAUGUAACGGGGCUAAACCAUGCACCGAAGCUGCGGCAGCGAACGUAUCACCCAAGACAACUUUACGGAGUUGACGAUUGACGGAGCGAAGCGACGUCAAAGCGUUCAUUAAAGUCGAG